Ooceraea biroi (clonal raider ant) is the source of this 1619-nucleotide long non-coding RNA. RefSeq lists it as uncharacterized. Lineage: Eukaryota; Metazoa; Arthropoda; Insecta; Hymenoptera; Formicidae. The record is from RefSeq and is a predicted model, not a curated record.
UUACGCCCGAGCAGAAAUAUAUCCGCGGACGGAGGCAAACUUUUCUCACGAGAGAGACACGAUUUGCUACUGUAAAAGAGAAUACUAAAUUGAAAGAUUUUAACGUUAGGGGCUGUGACUCGGUCUGCAAACGUCGAGCAGCAGGGAAUCCAUUUGACGUCAUCCGCUAUAUAAAUUUUGUACACCACGCGUCAAACGAGAUCUAUUCUAAUUGUUGCAUAACGGACAUGAUUACGUGUACAAUAAAGCGUGCACUCGCGAAAUUAUAAUGAUGCAUAUUGUAUUAUUCAGAGCGCUUACGCAGAUAACAGUUAUUGGUUACUAUUUAUUAUAAUUACGUUUCAGUCAUUGUCAUUAUUAUCAUAAGUUAUUAAUGACCGAUCGAUUCGUCAUAAUCGGUCGCAUGCAAAUUUAUUUGCUCGAAAGGGAGCAUUUAUUAUCGCCUACGUAUUAUCGCCUGCCUGUCUAUCUAGGACGAAUCCUUAAUUUGAAAACAAUGCACAUAUAUCGACAAUCGAUUGGGAUUAGCCGGAUUUGCAGGUGCACGAGCAAAUCGCCUUCUGCAAGGCAGCCUAAUCAAGAAGGAAUGCAUUCGAUGUUGGUACGCAGCACGAGCUGAUGGGGAACGGUGUUUCACUGCUGCUGGCGGGCGUUCUUAGGGAGUAUUAGUGACCACUCUCCAGAUCACUCAAGAGCCUACCCUACGAAUUUCCGGUCUGAACUACGCGGCUCGUUCCCCCGGCUGGUUCCCACCACUCGUCGUUAAUUCAUCCCCAGUAGAUUGACUAAAGAUACGAGGGAUUCGUCAACUAAUGCGCGCAUUCGACUGCGUAAAGGGAAGAAAUGUUACACCGAAGAGAAGAAGCGAUGAAAACGUACAAGCUUACCGUUUGUCAAUGCCGACAAGAAACCAUCGACUUCUCUUAAGUGGCACGAUGGCCGAGAUGCAAGGCUAACAUAAUCAACCGUACUUUCUCCAAAGACCACGGGAAAUGUUUGCAACCCGGCAGCGUAUUACAAUAAUUGCAAUUUCAGAUAAAACUGAGAUACGACGCAAUAUGUAUACAUACUUGCGAAGGCGAUCAAUCAAAACGCGGAAGUUGUAGUCCGUUUGUAGCAGGUAUGAAUAAUUAAAUACGAAACGAAAACUUAAAUGACUGUAAAUCUGAAGUUACUGGCAUUAGCAAUUAAUUAACAAGCAAUUCUUUAUUUUAAUGACAUUUUAAUUUUAAGAUAGUAUGUUUUAAAAAAAGUGAAUUUUUAAGUACGUACUUGUGAUAAUCGAUAAUGUAUUCAAAUUCAUUCGGAAUGAUAAAAGAAAGGAAAUAGUUUAUCAAAGUUAUAAACGUAUAAGCAGAUAUAAACAUGUACAUAAUGUAUAUAAACGUAUAAGCACGUAUAUAAACAAUGGUGAAAAUUAAUACUGCUAAUUAAUAUAUAAAAUAAUGUUUAUGGAUUAUAUUAUAUGACAAGCUGAAUGUUAAUUGUAGCAUUUAUCUCAAUAACGAUGUACUAAAGCAAAUUGUUAUUGGAGAAUGCAAAUACCGUCGAGGUGUUAAAAAUAUCAUGCAUAAGAUGUAACGCAAUUAUAUUAAUAAAAAUUACGACAAACGCAGCAA